GAUGAACCACUUCGGUGGGGAUUAGUGGCGAACGGGUGAGUAACACGUGGGCAAUCUGCCCUUCACUCUGGGACAAGCCCUGGAAACGGGGUCUAAUACCGGAUAAUACUUCUGCUCUCAUGAGCAGGGGUUGAAAGCUCCGGCGGUGAAGGAUGAGCCCGCGGCCUAUCAGCUUGUUGGUGAGGUAAUGGCUCACCAAGGCGACGACGGGUAGCCGGCCUGAGAGGGCGACCGGCCACACUGGGACUGAGACACGGCCCAGACUCCUACGGGAGGCAGCAGUGGGGAAUAUUGCACAAUGGGCGAAAGCCUGAUGCAGCGACGCCGCGUGAGGGAUGACGGCCUUCGGGUUGUAAACCUCUUUCAGCAGGGAAGAAGCGAAAGUGACGGUACCUGCAGAAGAAGCGCCGGCUAACUAC
RNAcentral lists this ribosomal RNA (419 nucleotides) under bacterium M4A-311-16S. RNAcentral's name for it is "bacterial SSU rRNA". It matches the Rfam family "Bacterial small subunit ribosomal RNA", at positions 68 to 504 of the family's 1533-position model. The record is from RNAcentral.